Molecule: long non-coding RNA, 1984 nt
Organism: Ctenopharyngodon idella (grass carp)
Lineage: Eukaryota; Metazoa; Chordata; Actinopteri; Cypriniformes; Xenocyprididae
Exons: 4
Source: RefSeq, a predicted model, not a curated record
GAACUUUCUGCCCGAAUCGAUCUUCUCGGACGAAAUUUGUUUUACUUUAUAUAUUGGAUAAUGUAGCGUUUGAAUGUGUGUUUUACAGUUAAUUAACGUUGCUUGUGAACAUGAAUACUAAAGGAAUCGUAAUUAAUCGAAUUUAAAAUGAAUUCCUCCUUUACCGUGUAUGCAGCGCGAGAUAUUUGAAAUGCUGUGGGCGGGAAGUGCGCGUGGUGCGGGAGAAAACACCCGAGGCACAUUCCUGUAUUAUAAUAUUGAGUUAAGUUUUUAAAUUAAUAUUUGUCUGUUCUUUUAUUUGUCUUUGACAUGUUAUCUCUGAUUUCAUGUAUAUGUUUGCCCAAAAUGAUGAUCCAGAUCUGUAAGUAAAGACAUGAGCUAACGUUACAUUUGCCUAACUUGGUGUUUUGCUUCGUCCAGGGAAAAAUGUUAGGAUAUUUUUAGUAUAAAUCAUGAUCAUGAUAGUAGAAAUAGUAGAUUACAAUAGUAGUAUUUGCACAACUAAUUAAUUGACCUAGCAAACAACUUUCGACCACUAAUAAAUGCUGUAAAAAUGUUUCUCCCCUUAGGACCUAAAGCUUUUCAAUGUUGUUUCACUACCGAGGACACUUUUGAAAUAACGUUACAUGUGAUGGUUUGCAUUCCUGUUAAAUAUCUUCUCUACGUUUCUACUGAAAGAAAAAAAGACACAUCUUGGAUGGCCUGAAGACUGAAAACAUUCACCUGAGAAGAGUGUGUCCUGUAGGCCCUUUUUUCUUAAGAGAGAAACUCCUGAAGACCUCAUAGAGUACCUUGAUAACCAAACAGAUGAUUGUGAGGGUGACCUUGAGCAGCUCUUCGUGGUGGUGUUCAUUAUUCUGAAGUAAGGGGAGAACUUCAUGAACCGCCUGCUGACAUUGACAUUGUGAUCGAUAAAGUUUUGAAUCAGCUCACUUCAGUCACAUCAGCUUGUGCCCUGCUUCUGGGUAUGAUAUACAUCAACCUAUAAAGGUUUAUAUUAAAUAGUCAUAAAUUUGAAUUCAGCGUGUUUUAACUUAAACCUUUUUUUAAUCAUAUUUCAAGUUGCACUUAAUUUUAUAGUACACUGUAACAGUCAGAUUUCCAAAUAUUUAUGACCCACCUUCUGUCAAUCGUACAAUACUACCGAUCAAAUGUUUAAGAACAUUGUGCAGUUCUAACUUCCUGUUUGUUUCUGUUUUCUUUAAAUGUCUUACAAGUGAAGGCUGAAAAAAAGGAGGCCUCAAAGUUUGUGUUUGCUGUUUCUGCAAAACUGGCUGUGUUAUGCUCCUGAUCAGCUUGCGGGCGUUGCUCGUGGUGGAAAUCUCUGAGUUCAUCAGAGUAUCAUUUUAAUGAAUAAGGACAUACUUUUUGCAUUAGAAGAGUAGCUUCAAUCCUUGAAAAGCUUCAAGUCCUGAACUGUGGUAGUGUUUCAGUCUGUAGUACUGUGUUUCUGUCUUCGUUGGUGAGUUUCCAUGUGUAUUUACUUCCAUUUUACAGAUGCAGGUUGCAUUUGUUGUCACGGUUUUCCAGGCUCUUUUUCCAAUGACUAAAAUGCAUGUUUGAGCUGUUUUAACUGAAAGUAACUUGCACUGACAUCUUACAAUUUGUCUGUGCUAUUGUUUUGUCUCAAGAUGAAUGCCAUUUAUGUUUUAAUCUUUCACAGACAAAGCUUAAAUCUAGUCCCAGACUAAAAUGCAUGUCUGAGCUGUUUUAACUGAAAACAUAUCUUAAAAUAUGUCACUGCCAUUGUUUUGUCUCAAGAUAAACACCAGCAAUGAUUGUUUUUUCUAAGGCAUGUCUAUACAAGUUACUGAAAUAAUUGAACUAAGGUCUGAUCCUGGCUUAGCCUAAGCCCUGUCUGGUCUAUUUGUUUGUCACCACGAAAUGCCAUUUUUACAGCCACUUGUUUUUCCUGAAUGUGAUGUUAAUUCCUGUUCAAACAGUGUGUGUGGUUAUAAAUAAAUACAUUUGUGUGUAAACUGAA